Molecule: ribosomal RNA, 255 nt
Filed under: uncultured Gammaproteobacteria bacterium
Lineage: Bacteria; Pseudomonadati; Pseudomonadota; Gammaproteobacteria
Description: partial 16S ribosomal RNA
Rfam family: Bacterial small subunit ribosomal RNA
Source: RNAcentral
AGUCGAACGUGAAAGCACUUCGGUGUGAGUAGAGUGGCGGACGGGUGAGUAACGCGUGGGAAUCUACCCAGUAGUGGGGGACAACUACCGGAAACGGUAGCUAAUACCGCAUACGCCCUAUGGGGGAAAGGCUUCGGCCGCUAUUGGAUGAGCCCGCGUCAGAUUAGCUAGUUGGUAGGGUAAAGGCCUACCAAGGCAACGAUCUGUAGCUGGUCUGAGAGGACGAACAGCCACACUGGGACUGAGACACGGCCC